GACGAACGCUGGCGGCGUGCCUAAUACAUGCAAGUUGAGCGCUGAAGGUUGGUACUUUUACCAACUGGAUUAGCAGCUAACGGGUGGGUAACGCGUGGGGAAUCUUCCUUUUAUCGGGGGACAACAUUUUGGAACGAAUGCUAAUACCGCAUAAAAACUUUAAACACAAGUUUUAAGUUUGAAAGAUGCAAUUGCAUCACUCAAAGAUGAUCCCGCGUUGUAUUAGCUAGUUGGUUAGGUAAAGGCUCACCAAGGCGAUGAUACAUAGCCGACCUGAGAGGGUGGUCGGCCACCAUGGGACUGAGAAACGGCUCCAACGCCUAAGGGAGGCAGCAGUAGGGAAUUUUCGGAAAUGGAGGACAGUCUGACCGAGCAACGACGCGUGAGUGAAGAAGGGUUUCGGAUCGGAAAACUCUGUUGGUAGAGAAGAAAGUUGGUGAGAGUGGAAAGCCCAUCAAGUGACGGUAACUAAACAGAAAGGAACGGCUAACUACGUG
This 497-nucleotide ribosomal RNA is filed under the name uncultured bacterium. RNAcentral's name for it is "partial 16S ribosomal RNA". It matches the Rfam family "Bacterial small subunit ribosomal RNA", at positions 28 to 507 of the family's 1533-position model. The record is from RNAcentral.